Molecule: ribosomal RNA, 497 nt
Filed under: uncultured bacterium
Lineage: Bacteria
Description: partial 16S ribosomal RNA
Rfam family: Bacterial small subunit ribosomal RNA
Source: RNAcentral
GACGAACGCUGGCGGCGUGCCUAAUACAUGCAAGUCGAACGCUGAAACUUGGUGCUUGCACCGAGCGGAUGAGUUGCGAACGGGUGAGUAACGCGUAGGUAACCUGCCUGGUAGCGGGGGAUAACUAUUGGAAACGAUAGCUAAUACCGCAUAAGAGUAGAUGUUGCAUGACUUUUGCUUAAAAGACGCUAUUGCUCCCCUACCAGGUGGAAUUGCGUUGUCUUAGCUUGUUGGUGGGGUAAACGCCCACCAAGGCGACGGUAGAUAGCCGACCCGAGGGGGGGAGCCGCCACACUGGGACUGAGACACGGCCCAGACUCCUACGGGGAGCAGCAGGAGGGGAUCUUCGGCAAUUGACGGAAGGCUGACCGGGGAACGCCGCGGGAGGGGAUAAGGUUGUCGGGUCGGAAAGCUCUGUUGUAUGAGAAGGACGAGAGUGGGAAUGGAAAGUUCACACUGUGACGGUAGCUUACCAGAAAGGGACGGCUAACUACGUG